This 254-nucleotide ribosomal RNA is filed under the name uncultured bacterium. RNAcentral describes it as "partial 16S ribosomal RNA". It matches the Rfam family "Bacterial small subunit ribosomal RNA", at positions 524 to 777 of the family's 1533-position model. The record is from RNAcentral.
UACGAAGGGGGCGAGCGUUGUUCGGAAUUACUGGGCGUAAAGGGCGCGCAGGCGGCCUUAGAAGUCAGAUGUGAAAGCCCCGGGCUCAACCUGGGAAUGGCAUUUGAUACUCUGAGGCUGGAGUACGGGAGAGGAGAGUGGAAUUCCCAGUGUAGAGGUGAAAUUCGUAGAUAUUGGGAAGAACACCGGUGGCGAAGGCGGCUCUCUGGACCGUAACUGACGCUGAGGCGCGAAAGCGUGGGGAGCAAACAGGG